This 565-nucleotide ribosomal RNA is filed under the name Vishniacozyma victoriae. RNAcentral describes it as "partial large subunit ribosomal RNA". It matches the Rfam family "Eukaryotic large subunit ribosomal RNA", at positions 100 to 655 of the family's 3401-position model. Lineage: Eukaryota; Fungi; Basidiomycota; Tremellomycetes; Tremellales; Bulleribasidiaceae. The record is from RNAcentral.
GGGAUGAGCUCAAAUUUAAAAUCUGGCGUCUUUCAGGCGUCCGAGUUGUAAUCUAUAGAGGCGUUUUCCGCGCCGGACCGCGUCCAAGUCUCUUGGAAUAGAGUAUCAAAGAGGGUGACAAUCCCGUACUUGACGCGACAACCGGUGCUCUGUGAUACGUUCUCAAUGAGUCGAGUUGUUUGGGAAUGCAGCUCUAAAUGGGUGGUAAAUUCCAUCUAAGGCUAAAUAUUGGCGAGAGACCGAUAGCGAACAAGUACCGUGAGGGAAAGAUGAAAAGCACUUUGGAAAGAGAGUUAAACAGCACGUGAAAUUGUUAAAAGGGAAACGAUUGAAGUCAGUCGUGUGAAAGGUAUUCAGCCGUCUCUGGCGGUGUAUUUGCCUUUCACGGGUCAACAUCAGUUUGAUCCGGUAGAAAAAGGCGGGAGGAAGGUGGCACCCUCGGGUGUGUUAUAGCCUCCUGUCAUAUGUGCCGGACCAGACUGAGGAACGCAGCUUGCCGCAAGGCCGGGGUUCGCCCACGUACAAGCUUAGGAUGUUGACAUAAUGGCUUUAAACGACCCGUCUU